UCUGCUACUCAGUGAUACUCUGUGCAGCAAAUUUCUAUGCAACACCACCAAAGUUGUCUCUGUGCUUUUUCAGGUGGUAAAUGUAAUGAGGGGUAGUUGCUUCUUCUUCCCUUUGGAAACCAUCACAGGAUCCUCAAUCAUAUCAGUCUUGGUGAUGAGAUCGGACCUGAAGUCAGCUGCUGAAGAUUCUGAAGAUGGUUCCUAGGAGCAGGUGAAGAUAUCCACAGAGCCUCUUUGUUUACAGCCUCUUCAGCACUCUCCAGAAUCUCUGUACCUGUAAGGAUACCAGCUUACCUGUUUUCAUCCAGUGGGAAGGAAACUCUGCAAGGAAGCCAUGACCGGUGCACGCGGUACAGUACCCGUUGACUGUGCUUUCUGUGUAAGCACAGAAAUCCUACAGCGGCCUUUCUAAAAAGUGUCCUUUGAGUAUCAGAGUGAGUCGCUGUAAAAAGACAAACUGGGUCACUUUUCAAAGCUGCCAGCUGGAAUCUUCACUGGAAAUUCUGCAGAAAUACCUGUUAAUGUUUCCAGUUGUUCAUGACCUUAAAAAAAUAAAAAAUAAAAAAAAAAUUGCUGGAUCAUUCAUUCUUAAAAAAUUAUUAUUGUAACUGUAUUGUUUUAGUGAUGUGAAGGUUCAUUUCCUGUUUCUUGUGAUUUAUGGUUCUACAUCUUUAGGAAUGGUAGCCAUUCUCCACAGGCAAACUGUAUAUUGAAAGGAAAGGAGUAAAAGAUAGUUAUCCCAUAUCCCAUAGAGUUGCUUUUAUCUGUGUGAAGAAUUCCCUUUUUCUUUGUCAUUACCUUAC
Molecule: long non-coding RNA, 803 nt
Organism: Mustela erminea (ermine)
Lineage: Eukaryota; Metazoa; Chordata; Mammalia; Carnivora; Mustelidae
Exons: 3
Source: RefSeq, a predicted model, not a curated record